GACGAACGCUGGCGGCGUGCCUAAUACAUGCAAGUAGGACGCUGAAGAGAGGAGCUUGCUCUUCUUGGAUGAGUUGCGAACGGGUGAGUAACGCGUAGGUAACCUGCCUUGUAGCGGGGGAUAACUAUUGGAAACGAUAGCUAAUACCGCAUAACAAUGGAUGACACAUGUCAUUUAUUUGAAAGGGGCAAUUGCUCCACUACAAGAUGGACCUGCGUUGUAUUAGCUAGUAGGUGAGGUAACGGCUCACCUAGGCGACGAUACAUAGCCGACCUGAGAGGGUGAUCGGCCACACUGGGACUGAGACACGGCCCAGACUCCUACGGGAGGCAGCAGUAGGGAAUCUUCGGCAAUGGGGGCAACCCUGACCGAGCAACGCCGCGUGAGUGAAGAAGGUUUUCGGAUCGUAAAGCUCUGUUGUAAGUCAAGAACGAGUGUGAGAGUGGAAAGUUCACACUGUGACGGUAGCUUACCAGAAAGAGACGGCUAACUACGUG
RNAcentral lists this ribosomal RNA (497 nucleotides) under uncultured bacterium. Its description in RNAcentral is "partial 16S ribosomal RNA". It matches the Rfam family "Bacterial small subunit ribosomal RNA", at positions 28 to 507 of the family's 1533-position model. The record is from RNAcentral.